Molecule: ribosomal RNA, 520 nt
Filed under: uncultured Glomus
Lineage: Eukaryota; Fungi; Glomeromycota; Glomeromycetes; Glomerales; Glomeraceae
Description: SSU rRNA
Rfam family: Eukaryotic small subunit ribosomal RNA
Source: RNAcentral
AGCAGCCGCGGUAAUUCCAGCUCCAAUAGCGUAUAUUAAAGUUGUUGCAGUUAAAAAGCUCGUAGUUGAAUUUCGGGACCAAUCUGCCGGUCGUGCCUCCGGUACGCACUGGUUUUAUUGGUUUCUCCCUUCUGACGAACCAUGAUGUCAUUAAUUUGGUGUCAUGGGGAAUCAGGACUGUUACUUUGAAAAAAUUAGAGUGUUUAAAGCAGGCUCACGCUUGAAUACAUUAGCAUGGAAUAAUGAAAUAGGACGUUUGAUUCUAUUUUGUUGGUUUCUAGGAUCGACGUAAUGAUUAAUAGGGAUAGUUGGGGGCAUUAGUAUUCAAUUGUCAGAGGUGAAAUUCUUGGAUUUAUUGAAGACUAACUACUGCGAAAGCAUUUGCCAAGGAUGUUUUCAUUAAUCAAGAACGAAAGUUAGGGGAUCGAAGACGAUCAGAUACCGUCGUAGUCUUAACCAUAAACUAUGCCGACUAGGGAUCGGAUGAUGUUAAUUUUUUUAAUGACUCAUUCGGCGCCUU